CUUCGGGGCCGGGGGGCCGGUUCGGAGAGCUGUUCGUCUUGGGAAACGGGGUGCAGCC
Molecule: microRNA precursor, 58 nt
Filed under: Mus spretus (western wild mouse)
Lineage: Eukaryota; Metazoa; Chordata; Mammalia; Rodentia; Muridae
Description: predicted gene, 55286 (ENSMSPG00010032346.1)
Source: RNAcentral